GCGUACACGGUGGAUGCCCUGGCAGUCAGAGGCGAUGAAGGGCGUGCUAAUCUGCGAUAAGCGCCGGUAAGGUGAUAUGAACCGUUAUAACCGGCGAUACCCGAAUGGGGAAACCCAGUGUGAUUCGUCACACUAUCAUUAACUGAAUCCAUAGGUUAAUGAGGCGAACCGGGGGAACUGAAACAUCUAAGUACCCCGAGGAAAAGAAAUCAACCGAGAUUCCCCCAGUAGCGGCGAGCGAACGGGGAGGAGCCCAGAGCCUGAAUCAGCAUGUGUGUUAGUGGAAGCGUCUGGAAAGGCGCGCGAUACAGGGUGACAGCCCCGUACACAAAAGCGCAUGUGCUGUGAGCUCGAUGAGUAGGGCGGGACACGUGGUAUCCUGUCUGAAUAUGGGGGGACCAUCCUCCAAGGCUAAAUACUCCUGACUGACCGAUAGUGAACCAGUACCGUGAGGGAAAGGCGAAAAGAACCCCGGCGAGGGGAGUGAAAAAGAACCUGAAACCGUGU
This 507-nucleotide ribosomal RNA is filed under the name Salmonella enterica subsp. enterica serovar Agona. Its description in RNAcentral is "partial 23S ribosomal RNA". It matches the Rfam family "Bacterial large subunit ribosomal RNA", at positions 17 to 561 of the family's 2925-position model. The record is from RNAcentral. RNAcentral also lists the same sequence under 1 other name. Lineage: Bacteria; Pseudomonadati; Pseudomonadota; Gammaproteobacteria; Enterobacterales; Enterobacteriaceae.